UAGUCCACGCCGUAAACGAUGUCUACUCGGAGUUUGGUGCCUUGAGCACUGGGCUCUCAAGCUAACGCAUUAAGUAGACCGCCUGGGGAGUACGGCCGCAAGGUUAAAACUCAAAUGAAUUGACGGGGGCCCGCACAAGCGGUGGAGCAUGUGGUUUAAUUCGAUGCAACGCGAAGAACCUUACCUACUCUUGACAUCUAGAGAAGCUUGCAGAGAUGCGAGUGUGCCUUCGGGAACUCUAAGACAGGUGCUGCAUGGCUGUCGUCAGCUCGUGUUGUGAAAUGUUGGGUUAAGUCCCGCAACGAGCGCAACCCUUAUCCUUGUUUGCCAGUACGUAAUGGUGGGAACUCCAGGGAGACUGCCGGUGAUAAACCGGAGGAAGGUGGGGACGACGUCAAGUCAUCAUGGCCCUUACGAGUAGGGCUACACACGUGCUACAAUGGUGCAUACAGAGGGUAGCGAGACCGCGAGGUGGAGCGAAUCCCAGAAAGUGCAUCGU
This 499-nucleotide ribosomal RNA is filed under the name uncultured bacterium. RNAcentral's name for it is "bacterial SSU rRNA". It matches the Rfam family "Bacterial small subunit ribosomal RNA", at positions 791 to 1289 of the family's 1533-position model. The record is from RNAcentral.